CCUAUUCGAAGGGAUAGGGUCGGUUCGGCCGGGUUUCACACAGGUGUUGCAUGGCUGUCGUCAGCUCGUGUCGUGAGAUGUUGGGUUAAGUCCCGCAACGAGCGCAACCCUCAUCCUUAGUUACCAUCAGGUAAUGCUGGGGACUUUAAGGAGACUGCCAGUGAUAAACUGGAGGAAGGUGGGGAUGAUGUCAAGUCAUCAUGGCCCUUAUGGAGUGGGCUACACACGUGCUACAAUGGUGGCUACAAUGGGCUGCAAAGUCGCGAGGCUAAGCCAAUCCCUUAAAAGCCAUCUCAGUUCGGAUUGUACUCUGCAACUCGAGUGCAUGAAGUUGGAAUCGCUAGUAAUCGUGGAUCAGCACGCCACGGUGAAUACGUUCUCGGGUCUUGUACACACUGCCCGUCACGCCAUGGGAAUUGGUUUCACUCGAA
This 431-nucleotide ribosomal RNA is filed under the name Wolbachia sp. RNAcentral describes it as "bacterial SSU rRNA". It matches the Rfam family "Bacterial small subunit ribosomal RNA", at positions 996 to 1425 of the family's 1533-position model. Lineage: Bacteria; Pseudomonadati; Pseudomonadota; Alphaproteobacteria; Rickettsiales; Anaplasmataceae. The record is from RNAcentral.